AAACUGUACAUCCACACAAAAAAGUGUACACAAAUGUUCACAGCAGCACUAUGUGUAAUAGUCAAAAAGCGGAAGCAACCAAAACGUCCAUCAGCUGGUGAAUGGAUAAACAAAAUGUGCUCUGCCCCCGUGGUAAGAUCGCUUUCCACCAUAAAAAGGAUGAACCUCGAAGACACUGUGCUGAGUGAAAAAAAAAAAAAACAGACACCAAAGGCCACAUACUAUACGAUUUCAUUUCUACGAAAUAUCUAGAAUGGGCAAGUCUACAGAGACAGAAAGUAGAUCAGUGGUUGCCAGGGUGGAGAACGGGGUAGGGGGGCUGCUGAAUGGGUACAGAAUUUCUUUUGGGGUAAUAAAAUAUUCUAGAAUUAGAUCGUGGUGAUGGUUGCACAUCAUUGUAAAUAUACUUAAUGCCACUGAAUUGCACACUUUGCAAUGGUGAAUUUUUAUGUUAUGUGAAUUUUUCCUCAAUGAGGAAAAAAUAUGACCAACUACCCCUUCCGUGGAGCAGGCACUGUGGGAGGAAGACCACCAUGUUACUCCUAACUCUUAGAUCAAGCCUUUGGGGAUCGAGGCAGGCAUUAGCAUCCUUAUUUUACAGCCACUGAAGCAUCCAGCAACCAGUCUCGGGCCCAAGGUCACUCAGUGAUAAUUUGGGAAUUGGAUCCACUUUGGGAAUUCCACUCCCAAAGUGUGGGACCCUUCUGAGAGGGUCCCCACUUAUCUACUCUGUGUGGCAUCAGAGAUUCUCAAGGGUGCCCCCGUUCUGAAGCUAGCACAGAAGACCAACACCAUUCUAGUGGUACACCCUGGUACGUAUGUGUGCACGUGAGUUUGUGUGUGCGUGUGUGUGUACACGUGUGCAUGGGGUGGCUGUUUCUACCCCGUCCUGCCCCCAUCCCCACCACCUCAAUUCCCGGUAGGCUGGCUUCAUCACAAACCAGCUGGAGGACCUUGAAAAUUCUAGUCUUUAGGUGCCAGGAGGGGCAGCCGGUGCAGGGAACCCAUUAAGACCCUGGAUUCACACAGAACUGUGGUCAACUUCUGUAGCAGAUGCUCCUGGUGCCUGGCCCAAAUUUCGUUGGCAUUCACCAGUCUGGAACAUUCCCUAAGGGCACGAGACCCCCACCUGAAGGCAAUGCCUCUGGGAGCAUCUCUUAGUCAAUGAGGCAGUGAAGCAUCGGAACUAGAGGAUGCUCCAGCUUUCCACUCCCCAGGUGGAGUAACGUGGGGGCGUCUUAUACAGGGUGGCUCAGAGAAGCCCAGCGGACUGACCCCCAGUGUCUCACUCUGGGGACUGGCUUGACAGCACCUCCCUUACUGCCUGCUUCCCUUCUCCGCCUCACUUCCUCACUCCCUAAUCAACCACUUGGCUCCAAAUCCUUGUCUCAGGCAUUGCUUCUGGAAGAGCCCAGCCUAAGACACCUCCCCUUGGUCGCUCUUGCUCUGUGUCCUUGGGCAAGUCCCUCAAUCUCCCAGAGCCUUUCAAGGGUGAGGAGGCUGACCUGGGGAGGAGAUCAGCUGCAUCUGGACAAUUUACCUGACCAGGGAAGAUUUAGAGGGAGGAUUAAUUAUUAUAUAUUCUACUCCCAUGCCUCUGAGAGGUUCAACUUAAGCCAGAUCACGACAGUGGGGAAUUUUCCAACCUAAAUCUGACCACUUAGGGGCUGUAAUCCAGAAAAUUUAGCUGAAAGCUGUGUCUCCCUUCCACCCUCAGGACUUCUUGGUCAGCCUGAGGGGCUGGUGAAGGGUACGAGUGGGAAUGGGUAUGAAGAGUGCCUGGAGGGACAGAGCCCCUGUUUUGGGGUCCCAGGUGUCCCUGUGGCCAAAACUACCCAAACAAGAGUGACAUUGGGCUGGCCUUUCUUGGACUCCCCCUGGCCUGCCCAGAAUGCUCCAGAGCAAGGCUGACAGGUCUGGAGGCUGCAGCUGGACCUCCAGUGUGGCAGGUGGCCUCCCUUGGCUGGGCUGAGACUAAGCUGGCUUUGGGGCUGGGGUGCCCCUCACCCCCUCUCUUUCUUCAUCUCCAGGCCCACUGCAGGCCUGGCUGUUAACGUGUUCGCUUUCAGUCCUACGUGUUUGUCCCUCGUACACACAGCUGACUGACCUUGUCAGAGUGGGGUGUGUGUGUGUGUGUGUGUGUGUGUGUAUUUGUGUGUGUGU
Molecule: non-coding RNA, 2163 nt
Organism: Vicugna pacos (alpaca)
Lineage: Eukaryota; Metazoa; Chordata; Mammalia; Artiodactyla; Camelidae
Source: RefSeq, a predicted model, not a curated record